RNAcentral lists this ribosomal RNA (552 nucleotides) under uncultured archaeon. RNAcentral's name for it is "bacterial SSU rRNA". It matches the Rfam family "Archaeal small subunit ribosomal RNA", at positions 326 to 879 of the family's 1478-position model. The record is from RNAcentral.
CGGGGUGCAGCAGGCGCGAAACCUUUACACUGCACGAAAGUGCGAUAAGGGGAUUCCAAGUGUGCAUAUACCAUAUGCACUUUUUCGGAGUUUAAAAAGCUCCGGGAAUAAGGGGUGGGCAAGACUAGUGCCAGCCGCCGCGGUAAAACUAGCAUCGCAAGUGGCAGUCACCUUUACUGGGCUUAGAGCGUCCGUAGCUCGUUUGGCAAGUCCCUGGUGAAAUCCUGCGGCUUAACCGUAGGGCCUGCCGGGGAAACUACCAGACUUGAAGGCAAGAGAGGUCAGGGGUACUUCUGGGGUAGGGGUGAAAUCCUAUAAUCCUAGAAGGACCAACAGUGGCGAAGGCGCCUGACAUGAGUGCGCUUGACAGUGAGGGACGAGAGCCAGGGGCGCGAAACGGAUUAGAUACCCGUGUAGUCCUGGCCGUAAACGAUGCUGAUUAGGUGGGGUGCGAUCUUAGGGAUCGUGCUAUGCCGAAGGGAAACCGUUAAAUCAGCCGCCUGGGGAGUACGACCGCAAGGUUGAAACUUAAAGGAAUUGGCGGGGGAGCAC